GACGAACGCUGGCGGCGUGCUUAACACAUGCAAGUCGAACGGUGAAGGGACCAGCUUGCUGGUUCUGGAUGAGUGGCGAACGGGUGAGUAACACGUGAGUAACCUGCCCCCUUCUUCUGGAUAACCGCAUGAAAGUGUGGCUAAUACGGGAUAUUCUGGGUCUGUCGCAUGGCGGGCCCGGGAAAGAUAUUGCUUCGGUUGGGGAUGGGCUCGCGGCCUAUCAGCUUGUUGGUGGGGUGAUGGCCUACCAAGGCGGUGACGGGUAGCCGGCCUGUGAGGGUGGACGGUCACACUGGGACUGAGACACGGCCCAGACUCCUACGGGAGGCAGCAGUGGGGAAUAUUGCACAAUGGGCGCAAGCCUGAUGCAGCGACGCCGCGUGAGGGAUGGAGGCCUUCGGGUUGUAAACCUCUUGCGCCAGUGAAGCAGGCCUGCUCCUUGUGGGUGGGUUGACGGUAGCUGGAUAAGAAGCGCCGGCUAACUACGUG
RNAcentral lists this ribosomal RNA (489 nucleotides) under uncultured bacterium. RNAcentral's name for it is "partial 16S ribosomal RNA". It matches the Rfam family "Bacterial small subunit ribosomal RNA", at positions 28 to 507 of the family's 1533-position model. The record is from RNAcentral.